RNAcentral lists this ribosomal RNA (559 nucleotides) under Verticillium sp. FPGLXJ08. Its description in RNAcentral is "eukaryotic LSU rRNA". The stretch from base 196 to 349 matches the Rfam family "5.8S ribosomal RNA". The record is from RNAcentral. Lineage: Eukaryota; Fungi; Ascomycota; Sordariomycetes; Glomerellales; Plectosphaerellaceae.
GGAAAGUACAUAGUCGUAACAAGGUCUCCGUUGGUGAACCAGCGGAGGGAUCAUUACUGAGUACUACACUCUCUACCCUUUGUGAACUAUUAUACCUGUUGCUUCGGCGGCGCCCGCGAGGGUGCCCGCCGGUCUCAUCAGAAUCUCUGUUUUCGAACCCGACGAUACUUCUGAGUGUUCUUAGCGAACUGUCAAAACUUUUAACAACGGAUCUCUUGGCUCCAGCAUCGAUGAAGAACGCAGCGAAACGCGAUAUGUAAUGUGAAUUGCAGAAUUCAGUGAAUCAUCGAAUCUUUGAACGCACAUGGCGCCUUCCAGUAUCCUGGGAGGCAUGCCUGUCCGAGCGUCGUUUCAACCCUCGAGCCCCCGUGGCCCGGCGUUGGGGAUCUGCCACGGCAGGCCCCUAAAACCAGUGGCGGACCCGAAGGCCCUCUCCUUUGCGCAGUAGCAUCAGCCUCGCAUUGGGAUCCCUCGGCGUCCUGCCUCUAAACCCCCCACAAGUCCGCUCCGGCGGCACCAAGGUUGACCUCGGAUCAGGGUAGAAUUGCCCGCAAAUUUA